This 469-nucleotide ribosomal RNA is filed under the name uncultured bacterium. RNAcentral describes it as "partial 16S ribosomal RNA". It matches the Rfam family "Bacterial small subunit ribosomal RNA", at positions 28 to 507 of the family's 1533-position model. The record is from RNAcentral.
GACGAACGCUGGCGGCGUGCUUAACACAUGCAAGUCGAACGGUGAAGCGAGUGCUUGCACUCGUGGAUCAGUGGCGAACGGGUGAGUAACACGUGAGUAACCUGCCCAUCACUCUGGGAUAAGCACUGGAAACGGUGUCUAAUACUGGAAACGACCAACCCUUGCAUGGGGUGUUGGUGGAAAGAUUUAUCGGUGAUGGAUGGACUCGCGGCCUAUCAGCUUGUUGGCGGGGUAAUGGCCCACCAAGGCGACGACGGGUAGCCGGCCUGAGAGGGUGACCGGCCACACUGGGACUGAGACACGGCCCAGACUCCUACGGGAGGCAGCAGUGGGGAAUAUUGCACAAUGGGCGAAAGCCUGAUGCAGCGACGCCGCGUGAGGGAUGACGGCCUUCGGGUUGUAAACCUCUUUCAGCAGGGAAGAAGCGAAAGUGACGGUACCUGCAGAAGAAGCACCGGCUAACUACGUG